GACGAACGCUGGCGGCGUGCCUAAUACAUGCAAGUCGAGCGCUGAAGGUUGGUACUUGUACCGACUGGAUGAGCAGCGAACGGGUGAGUAACGCGUGGGGAAUCUGCCUUUGAGCGGGGGACAACAUCUGGAAACGAAUGCUAAUACCGCAUAAAAACUUUAAACACAAGUUUUAAUUUUGAAAGAUGCAAUUGCAUCACUCUAAAAUGAUCCCGCGUUCUCUUAGCUAGUUGGUGAGGUAAAGGCUCAACAAGGCGAAGAUACAUAGCCGCCCUGAGAGGGGGGACGGCCACAAUGGGAAUGAGACAAGGCCCAAAACCCUACGGGAAGGAGCAGUAGGGAAUCUUUGGGAAUUGGCGGAAGUCUGACCGAGCAACGCCGGGGGAGUGAAGAAAGGUUUCGGAUCGGAAAAAUCUGGUGGUAGAGGAGAAAGAUGGUGGGAGGGGAAAGCUCAUGAAGUGACGGUAACUAAUCAGAAAGGGACGGCUAACUACGUG
Molecule: ribosomal RNA, 497 nt
Filed under: uncultured bacterium
Lineage: Bacteria
Description: partial 16S ribosomal RNA
Rfam family: Bacterial small subunit ribosomal RNA
Source: RNAcentral